RNAcentral lists this ribosomal RNA (253 nucleotides) under uncultured bacterium. RNAcentral's name for it is "partial 16S ribosomal RNA". It matches the Rfam family "Bacterial small subunit ribosomal RNA", at positions 524 to 776 of the family's 1533-position model. The record is from RNAcentral.
UACAGAGGUCUCAAGCGUUGUUCGGAAUUACUGGGCGUAAAGGGUGCGCAGGCCGCGCGGGCAGUCAAAUGUGUAAUCCAGGGGCUCAACCCCUGAACUGCGCUUGAUACUUCCGCGCUCGAGCUUUGGAGAGGAGUCUGGAAUUCUCGGUGUAGCAGCGAAAUGCGUGGAUAUCGAGAAGAACACUUAGGGCGUAGGCAAGACUCUGGACAAAUGCUGACGCUCAUGCACGAAGGCUAGGGUAGCGAACGGG